This 488-nucleotide ribosomal RNA is filed under the name uncultured bacterium. RNAcentral's name for it is "bacterial SSU rRNA". It matches the Rfam family "Bacterial small subunit ribosomal RNA", at positions 28 to 507 of the family's 1533-position model. The record is from RNAcentral.
GACGACGGCUGGCGGCGUGGAUUAGGCAUGCAAGUCGAACGGUAGGAUACCUUCGGGUAUCUGAGAGUGGCGAACGGGUGAGUAACACGUAGGUGAUCUACCCUCAAGAUUGGGACAACCCAGGGAAACUUGGGCUAAUACCGGAUGAAAGCAGCAGCGAUGUUGUUUGAAAGGUGGCGUAAGCUGCCGUUUGGGGAUGAGCCUGCGCUCUAUUAGUUAGUUGGCGGGGUAAAGGCCCACCAAGGCGAUGAUAGAUAGGCGGCCUUAACGGGUGGUCGCCCACACUGGGAUUGAGAUACGGCCCAGACUCCUACGGGAGGCAGCAGUCGAGAAUAGUCUACAAUGGCCGAAAGGCUGAUAGUGCGACGCCGCGUGAACGAAGAAGCCCUUCGGGGUGUAAAGUUCUUUUAUAUGUGAGCAGUGCUUUCUAUGUGAACAGCAUGGGGAGAGAGAUAUUAGCAUAUGAAUAAGCAACGGCUAACUCCGUG